This 214-nucleotide ribosomal RNA is filed under the name uncultured bacterium. Its description in RNAcentral is "partial 16S ribosomal RNA". It matches the Rfam family "Bacterial small subunit ribosomal RNA", at positions 1279 to 1500 of the family's 1533-position model. The record is from RNAcentral.
AAGCCGUUCUCAGUUCGGAUCGGAGUCUGCAACCCGACUCCGUGAAGCUGGAUUCGCUAGUAAUCGCGCAUCAGCCAUGGCGCGGUGAAUACGUUCCCGGGCCUUGUACACACCGCCCGUCAAGCCAUGGAAGCCGGGGGCGCUUGAAGUGCGUUGCCGCAAGGCGCGCCCUAGAGCGAAACCGGUGACUGGGGCUAAGUCGUAACAAGGUACC